AUCUGCAGUUAUAGGCAGCUACCUCCUUAUACCUUCAGAUAUUACUGUAUGUGUGACUGGUCUUGGCGCUGGGCCUGGUCAAUACCUGGAUGGAAGAAUGCCUGGGAAUGCCAGAUGCUGUAGGUU
RNAcentral lists this ribosomal RNA (126 nucleotides) under Monopterus albus (swamp eel). The record is from RNAcentral. Lineage: Eukaryota; Metazoa; Chordata; Actinopteri; Synbranchiformes; Synbranchidae.